GCCAGAGAUGGAAGCAAUGUCGUCAGUGAAUGGUGUAUAGCUGUCGGUGCUCCAUUUUUGCUUUGUUUCGUCGCCACCAUUCCGUUGUUUGUCUCAAGAAGUUGGUUCGAAGAGGAGGUGUUUAUGCGGUAUGACUGCCCACUACUUUACAGCUUACACUCCUUGCAAUGCUGGUCGGAGAUUCUACAAAUGUCCUAAACCUGAUAAAAAUUCGUGUUGUUAUUUCGAAUGGGUUGAUGAAGUAUUAUCGGACAGAGUUCUGACUGUUAUUUGCAAGUUGAAGUCGCAAUUGGAUGCAGCUAAGGUUGAAAUUAAAAGAAAAAUUGAAGCAAUGGAGGCUAUAAUUGAAGUUGGAGAGACCGAAACAAGUAUGUUGGCGUCGAUGUUGGAUGCGACUUAUCUCAAAAGGGACUUAUUGAAGACUAAAGUUGAAGAAAUGGAGGCUACAAAUCAACUGGAAAGGACCAAUUCCAAGAAAAUGAACUUAGUUAUUUUGAUAUCAUGGGUCCUAUUUGGUACCUUAGUUGCAGCUUGUUUGAUGAAUUAAAUGAUAUCUAGUGUUGUGGUCUUUUGUGUUAUGAAGUUAAGUUAGGUUGGGAUAUUUAGAGCAAUGUAUUGUAUGUUAUUUUGUUGGGUAAAAGAUGAAAUUAAAUGUCCUUGCACCACCUAUCUUCACUGCUAAAAUAGUGUGUUUUGAACCGACAAUUGUCUGUUUUGGAGUAAAAUUUGAGAACAAAUCAAAAGAU
Nicotiana tabacum (common tobacco) is the source of this 746-nucleotide long non-coding RNA. RefSeq lists it as uncharacterized. NCBI's taxonomy places the organism in Eukaryota, Viridiplantae, Streptophyta, Magnoliopsida, Solanales, Solanaceae. The record is from RefSeq and is a predicted model, not a curated record.